This 495-nucleotide ribosomal RNA is filed under the name uncultured bacterium. Its description in RNAcentral is "partial 16S ribosomal RNA". It matches the Rfam family "Bacterial small subunit ribosomal RNA", at positions 28 to 507 of the family's 1533-position model. The record is from RNAcentral.
GAUGAACGCUGGCGGCGUGCCUAAUACAUGCAAGUCGAGCGAACAGACGAGGAGCUUGCUCCUCUGACGUUAGCGGCGGACGGGUGAGUAACACGUGGAUAACCUACCUAAGACUGGGAUAACUUCGGGAAGCCGGAGCUAAUACCGGAUAAUAUAUUGAACCGCAUGGUUCAAUAGUGAAAGACGGUUUUGCUGUCACUUAUAGAUGGAUCCGCGCCGCAUUAGCUAGUUGGUAAGGUAACGGCUUACCAAGGCAACGAUGCGUAGCCGACCUGAGAGGGUGAUCGGCCACACUGGAACUGAGACACGGUCCAGACUCCUACGGGAGGCAGCAGUAGGGAAUCUUCCGCAAUGGGCGAAAGCCUGACGGAGCAACGCCGCGUGAGUGAUGAAGGUCUUCGGAUCGUAAAACUCUGUUAUUAGGGAAGAACAAAUGUGUAAGUAACUAUGCACGUCUUGACGGUACCUAAUCAGAAAGCCACGGCUAACUACGUG